GAUGAACGCUGGCGGCGUGCCUAAUACAUGCAAGUCGAGCGAACAGACGAGGAGCUUGCUCCUCUGACGUUAGCGGCGGACGGGUGAGUAACACGUGUAUAACCUACCUAUAAGACUGGGAUAACUUCGGGAAACCGGAUCUAAUACCGGAUAAUAUAUUGAACCGCAGGGUUCAAUAGUGAAAGACGGUGUUGCUGUCACUUAUAGAUGGAUCCGCGCCGCAUUAGCUAGUUGGUAAGUUAACGGCUUACCAAGGCAACGAGGCGUAGACGACGGGAGAGGGUGAUAGCCCGCCUUGGAAGUGGGACACGGUCCAGGCUCCUGCGGGAGGCCGCAGUCGGGAACCUUCCGCAAUGGGCGAAAGCAUGACGGAGCAACGCCGCGUGAGUGAUGACGGUCUUCGGAUCGUAAAACUCUGUUAUUAGGGAAGAACAAAUGUGUAAGUAACUAUGCACGUCUUGACGGUACCUAAUCAGAAAGCCACGGCUAACUACGUG
Molecule: ribosomal RNA, 497 nt
Filed under: uncultured bacterium
Lineage: Bacteria
Description: partial 16S ribosomal RNA
Rfam family: Bacterial small subunit ribosomal RNA
Source: RNAcentral